RNAcentral lists this ribosomal RNA (459 nucleotides) under uncultured bacterium. RNAcentral describes it as "partial 16S ribosomal RNA". It matches the Rfam family "Bacterial small subunit ribosomal RNA", at positions 338 to 795 of the family's 1533-position model. The record is from RNAcentral.
CCUACGGGAGGCAGCAGUGAGGAAUAUUGGUCAAUGGGCGGGAGCCUGAACCAGCCAAGCCGCGUGCAGGAAGACGGCGCCAGGCGUUGUAAACUUCUUUUGUCGGGGAACAAAGGCCGCCACGUGUGGCGUUGUGAGUGUACCCGAAGAAAAAGCAUCGGCUAACUCCGUGCCAGCCGCCGCGGUAAUACGGAGGAUGCGAGCGUUAUCCGGAUUUAUGGGGUUUAAAGGGUGCGUAGGCGGUCGGGAAAGUUAGCGGGAAAAGCCCGGGGCUCAACCCCGGCGUGCCGUUGAAACUGUUGGACUAGAGACGGCGAGAAGUACGCGGAAUGCGCGGUGUAGCGGUGAAAUGCUUAGAUAUCGCGCAGAACUCCGAUUGCGAAGGCAGCGUACCGGCGCCGAACUGACGCUGAGGCACGAAAGCGUGGGUAUCGAACAGGAUUAGAUACCCGUGUAGUC